AUGGAUCGAGGUUGGAUGAGUCAACCAAGAGCUAGUGCUGCUUACAAAGAUGGUGUCGAGCAAUUUCUGACUUUUGCAUUCCGUGAUGUUCCGGCCGGUGAUAGAAUUCUUUGUCCUUGUGUAAAUUGCCGAAAUAAAGCUAUGCAGAGUUAUGAUGGAGUGAAGACUCACUUGAGAUGUGAUGGUAUUCUUCAAGGUUACACUAAGUGGGUUUGCCAUGGAGAGGAUUACAGUGAACCAUCAUUUGCAUUUGCUCAUGUAUCAGAUAACAGUGGCAAUCUUUCUAUUCCUGGCAUCCCAAGGAAUGUUGUUGGAGAAAGCAGCCAUGGAAGGUUGGAUGACAUGCCAGGACUCUUAAGUGCCGUCUUUGCUAUGGCUAACAGUUGUGAAUCUUUAUCAAGCACAUCUGAUGGUGAAUUAGAUGGCCUUGAAUUUGAGAAUAUGGAACCAAAUUCAGUUGAGGAUGAGAAUGCAGAUGCUCAAACAAGUAAGAAACCUGAUACAUAUGCAAGCUUCUUGGAGGAUGCAAACACAGAGUUAUACCCUGGAUGUAAUGCAUUUUCUAAGUUGUCAUUUCUCAUCACCUUGUAUCACAUGAAAUGCUUACAUGGAUGGACACAAGAAUCAUUUACAACGCUACUUGGUGUUUUGUCUGAUGCACUUCCAGAGGCAGAAAUACCAAAGAAGUACUAUGAGGUACAAAAACUCAUUCGUGGCUUAGGGCUUGACUAUGAGAAAAUCCAUGCAUGCCCCAAUGACUGUAUGCUUUUCCGAGGUGAACGAGCUGAUCAAGACUCUUGCCAUGUGUGUGGCAGCUCGCGUUGGGUUACAGAUGACAAGAAAGACUCCCAAGCUGAAUCUGUAUCUAAGCAAUCUAAGCAAAAGAAGAAACCAACCAAGGUGUUGCGUUACUUUCCUUUGAUACCGAGGAUUCAAAGGCUCUUUGCAACAACAAAAACAUCUGAUGACAUGCGUUGGCACGACGAGGGUCGUACCAAAGAUGGAAAGAUACGGCAUCCGGCUGAUGCCGAGUGUUGGAAAGAUCUUGAUGCUAGAUACCCCGAUUUUGCUGCUGAUCCUCGUAAUCCGCGCCUUGGCAUUGGAAGUGAUGGAGUUAACCCUUUCCGGAGUAUGAGUUCAAAACAUAGUACCUGGCCAGUGAUGCUUAUCCCGUACAACCUACCGCCUUGGAUUUGCAUGAAAGAAACAUCUCUAAUUUUAUCAAUGAUCAUUCCUGGACCAGCUUCCCCUGGGAAUGACAUUGAUAUAUAUUUGCAGCCACUGAUUGAUGAGCUCUUACAAUUAUGGGAUGGUGUAGACACAUUUGACGCUUCCUCGCAGGAGACAUUUCCUCUCAAGGCUGCACUAUUAUGGACUUUAAAUGAUUUUCCGGCAUUAGCUUACCUGUACGGUUGGAGCACAAGUGGUAAAUAUGGGUGUCCAUCAUGUGGUCCUUCUACAAGAUCAUUUCGCCUAAAUAAGAGUAUGAAACUUUGUUAUAUGGGCCACCGUCGCUGGUUACCACAGGGUCACAUAUUUCGAAACCGAAGGAGGCAAGAGUUUGAUGGCACUAAAGAGACUGAACUGGCACCGACAACUAUGAGUGGUACUUCAGCUUUGAAAAUGUUGCAAGGCAGAGUGUUUGUGUUAGGCAAAAAAGCCAAUGUAGCCAAGAAAGCAAAGGGCGGAAAGAAGAAAAAAAANNNNNNNNNNAAAAAAAACAGUGAAAAAGAAACUGAAAAUUAUCAAGAACCGAAGCGUAAAAGGAAGGCAGGCAACAAGAAGUCAAUUAAGAACCAAGGUAAGCCUGAGAAGAAGCCAGAGGAUUGGUUCAAAAAAAAAUCAAUAUUUUUCAACUUGCCAUAUUGGGAACUUAACAAGUUAAGGCACAAUCUCGAUGUAAUGCACAUAGAAAAGAAUGUGUUUGAUAAUUUAAUUGGAACGUUGUUGAAUAUUGAUUCUAAAACAAAGGAUGGCCUAAAUGCACGGCUUGACUUGGCAGAAAUUGGUGAAAAUGGAAUUCGACAUGAUCUUCAUCCUGUUGAAGAUAAUAAUGGAAAAACAGUAUUGCCUGAUGCACCAUUUACUAUGUCUAGAAAACAGCAAGAAGUACUUUGUUCAGUGAUGCAUAAUAUUAGGACUUCCGAUGGAUAUGCAUCAAAUUUUUCUAGGCAUGUCAACAUGAAAGAUUGUACAAUCUCAGGUCUCAAAAGCCAUGAUUGUCAUGUUAUUCUGGAAGAUAUUCUUCCUCUAGCACUUCGAUCCUGUUACCCGCACAAAGAGGUCAUGACAGUAGUUAUCGGGCUGUCUAAUUUCUUCAAGAAGCUAUGCUCGAAAGUGUUAGAUGUCUCUGAGCUUGAAAAACUUCAAGAGAGUAUUGUGAUGACACUUUGCAAUAUGGAGAGAAUUUUUCUUCCAUCAUUCUUUACUAUCAUGGCGCAUUUAAUGGUGCACUUGGUUGAAGAAGUUAAACUUGGUGGUCCAGUGCACUAUCGAUGGAUGUACCCUCUGGAGAGAUCAUUUGUCCGGCUGAAAGCACUUGUGCGCAAUAGAGCAUUUCCUGAAGGUUCAAUUGCUGAAGGGUAUCUUGCCCAAGAAUGCUUGACCUUUUGUUCAAGAUUUCUAGAAGGAACUACACGUUUUACAAGACCAUCAAGAAACCCUGCUCCGUCAGAAAAGAUAAAAGAUUUGUACAUGUUCAAUAGUGCUGGUGAACCAAUUGGAAAGGCUAUCCCGGUUGGGCAGUUUAAUAGCCGUCUUCUAAUUCAAGCACAUCGAUAUGUCUUACGACAUUGUGAUGAACUUGCAGAUUUCCGCAAAGAAUUUGUGGCCGAAGAGAAUAGCAAAGGAUGUGAGUCAGCUAAAUUGACAGAAGCUGAUAGCACUAAGUUAAUUAAUGGACACUUUGCUGACUGGUUGGAACAAAAGGUUUUACAAAGUGAUGGGCCAAAUAUAACAGAAAAGGUAAGAGCUUUGGCUGCAAAGCCAAAGAGAUAUGGGGUGCGCUACAGUGGCUAUGUCAUCAACGGCUUCAGGUUUCACACGAUGAGUCAUGACUCAGGGCAUGUCACACAAAAUAGUGGUGUAGUGAACAUUGCAGAAAAUGGUGUUCGAUAUUAUGGCAGAUUAACUGACAUAUUUGAAUUGUCCUAUAAUGAUUACAAGGUGGUGUUCUUUAAUUGUGAUUGGUAUGAUGUCUACCACAAAGUUGGCAUUCAAACCGAUGAGUUUGGGUUCAUUCUUGUGAACAAGUCUCGGAAAAUACACACAGGAGAUCAGUUAGAGGAUGAUCCUUUUGUAUUUUCUUCCCAGGUGCAGCAGGUUUUCUAUGUUCAAGAUCCAAAAGCUGAACUAUGGAAUGUAGUAGUGGAAGUCAGGUCUCGUGACCUUUUUGACAUGGGUGAUGAAGAAUCAUCAGAUGAAACAGAUUAG
Molecule: ribosomal RNA, 3432 nt
Filed under: Triticum aestivum (bread wheat)
Lineage: Eukaryota; Viridiplantae; Streptophyta; Magnoliopsida; Poales; Poaceae
Description: partial small subunit ribosomal RNA
Source: RNAcentral